GUAGUCCUGACCAUAAACGAUGUCAACUAAGGAUUGGAUAAGAAACAUCGAAGUAUGAGCCUUUUUCUCCAACUUGUUGGAAAAAAAGCGUUUCGCUUCAUUUCUUCCCUUAUUCAGGACUUGAUGAGAAAUCAUUAAGUGAAAUGGACUUCAGGGGGAGUAUGGUCACAAGGCUGAAACUU
RNAcentral lists this ribosomal RNA (182 nucleotides) under Entamoeba coli. Its description in RNAcentral is "partial 18S ribosomal RNA". It matches the Rfam family "Eukaryotic small subunit ribosomal RNA", at positions 1020 to 1145 of the family's 1831-position model. Lineage: Eukaryota; Evosea; Mastigamoebida; Endamoebidae. The record is from RNAcentral.